CAGUCGAGCGGACAGAUGGGAGCUUGCUCCCUGAUGUUAGCGGCGGACGGGUGAGUAACACGUGGGUAACCUGCCUGUAAGACUGGGAUAACUCCGGGAAACCGGGGCUAAUACCGGAUGGUUGUUUGAACCGCAUGGUUCAGACAUAAAAGGUGGCUUCGGCUACCACUUACAGAUGGACCCGCGGCGCAUUAGCUAGUUGGUGAGGUAACGGCUCACCAAGGCGACGAUGCGUAGCCGACCUGAGAGGGUGAUCGGCCACACUGGGACUGAGACACGGCCCAGACUCCUACGGGAGGCAGCAGUAGGGAAUCUUCCGCAAUGGACGAAAGUCUGACGGAGCAACGCCGCGUGAGUGAUGAAGGUUUUCGGAUCGUAAAGCUCUGUUGUUAGGGAAGAACAAGUGCCGUUCAAAUAGGGCGGCACCUUGACGGUACCUAACCAGAAAGCCACGGCUAACUACGUGCCAGCAGCCGCGGUAAUACGUAGGUGGCAAGCGUUGUCCGGAAUUAUUGGGCGUAAAGGGCUCGCAGGCGGUUUCUUAAGUCUGAUGUGAAAGCCCCCGGCUCAACCGGGGAGGGUCAUUGGAAACUGGGGAACUUGAGUGCAGAAGAGGAGAGUGGAAUUCCACGUGUAGCGGUGAAAUGCGUAGAGAUGUGGAGGAACACCAGUGGCGAAGGCGACUCUCUGGUCUGUAACUGACGCUGAGGAGCGAAAGCGUGGGGAGCGAACAGGAUUAGAUACCCUGGUAGUCCACGCCGUAAACGAUGAGUGCUAAGUGUUAGGGGGUUUCCGCCCCUUAGUGCUGCAGCUAACGCAUUAAGCACUCCGCCUGGGGAGUACGGUCGCAAGACUGAAACUCAAAGGAAUUGACGGGGGCCCGCACAAGCGGUGGAGCAUGUGGUUUAAUUCGAAGCAACGCGAAGAACCUUACCAGGUCUUGACAUCCUCUGACAAUCCUAGAGAUAGGACGUCCCCUUCGGGGGCAGAGUGACAGGUGGUGCAUGGUUGUCGUCAGCUCGUGUCGUGAGAUGUUGGGUUAAGUCCCGCAACGAGCGCAACCCUUGAUCUUAGUUGCCAGCAUUCAGUUGGGCACUCUAAGGUGACUGCCGGUGACAAACCGGAGGAAGGUGGGGAUGACGUCAAAUCAUCAUGCCCCUUAUGACCUGGGCUACACACGUGCUACAAUGGACAGAACAAAGGGCAGCGAAACCGCGAGGUUAAGCCAAUCCCACAAAUCUGUUCUCAGUUCGGAUCGCAGUCUGCAACUCGACUGCGUGAAGCUGGAAUCGCU
This 1294-nucleotide ribosomal RNA is filed under the name Bacillus velezensis. RNAcentral's name for it is "bacterial SSU rRNA". It matches the Rfam family "Bacterial small subunit ribosomal RNA", at positions 59 to 1336 of the family's 1533-position model. The record is from RNAcentral. Lineage: Bacteria; Bacillati; Bacillota; Bacilli; Caryophanales; Bacillaceae.